Molecule: long non-coding RNA, 246 nt
Filed under: Nicotiana benthamiana
Lineage: Eukaryota; Viridiplantae; Streptophyta; Magnoliopsida; Solanales; Solanaceae
Description: long non-coding RNA (NBEN_LNC001189)
Source: RNAcentral
GGAGGUCUAGUAUCAGGGUUGUAGGAUAAGGGCUCCUAGAAUUUUUCGUACUCCUCUCCCGGAGUUGGGUGAGGCUUGACAGGGAUAUCCAUAAAUGAUUUUUGUAUUGGAUUGUGUCUCCCUUAUGGUAGUUACUAUUUGAUAUUAUUGCAUGUCAUUUUAUUUAUGGUUCUUAUGUUUAGUUAAUUAUUUACACUAUUUCUGCUGGAGUUACUAAUGCUCUUUUGUUUUUGUUUUUGUUUUUGU